This is a long non-coding RNA of Drosophila subobscura, 172 nucleotides long. RefSeq lists it as uncharacterized. NCBI's taxonomy places the organism in Eukaryota, Metazoa, Arthropoda, Insecta, Diptera, Drosophilidae. The transcript has 3 exons. The record is from RefSeq and is a predicted model, not a curated record.
UACAAGAACAACAACAGAGCGAUGCGUGGAGUCGGCUUCCUCGUCGAGCGCUGCGGCAUGACAAGGACAACCAUAAGAACAUUCAACAUCAUCCAGAAGAACCAUUCUAUUUCCCCAAAGCAAAAAAAAGACAACACAAAAACAAAAAUGAAAGCAAAACACAAACAACACA